UCGUUUUUUGGAAGACUAGUU
RNAcentral lists this non-coding RNA (21 nucleotides) under Caenorhabditis elegans. The record is from RNAcentral. Lineage: Eukaryota; Metazoa; Nematoda; Chromadorea; Rhabditida; Rhabditidae.